RNAcentral lists this ribosomal RNA (486 nucleotides) under uncultured bacterium. RNAcentral describes it as "bacterial SSU rRNA". It matches the Rfam family "Bacterial small subunit ribosomal RNA", at positions 45 to 507 of the family's 1533-position model. The record is from RNAcentral.
UGCCUAACACAUGCAAGUCGAACGGAAACAGAUCGCUGUGAUCCCUUCGGGGUGAACUUGAUGCUGUCGAGUGGCGGACGGGUGAGUAAUGCUUGGGAAUCUGCCCAGUAGUGGGGGACAACACGAGGAAACUCGUGCUAAUACCGCAUACGCACUACGGUGGAAAGUGGGGGACCUUCGGGCCUCACGCUAUUGGAUGAGCCUAAGUCGGAUUAGCUUGUUGGUGGGGUAAUGGCUCACCAAGGCGACGAUCCGUAGCUGGUCUGAGAGGACGAUCAGCCACACUGGGACUGAGACACGGCCCAGACUCCUACGGGAGGCAGCAGUGGGGAAUAUUGGACAAUGGGCGCAAGCCUGAUCCAGCAAUGCCGCGUGUGUGAAGAAGGCCUGCGGGUUGUAAAGCACUUUCAGUAGAGAAGAAAAGCCUGAGGUUAAUACCCUCAAGUCUUGACGUAACCUACAGAAGAAGCACCGGCUAACUCCGUG